RNAcentral lists this unclassified non-coding RNA (321 nucleotides) under uncultured Ceratobasidiaceae. RNAcentral describes it as "sequence contains ITS2". The record is from RNAcentral. Lineage: Eukaryota; Fungi; Basidiomycota; Agaricomycetes; Cantharellales; Ceratobasidiaceae.
AACGCACCUUGCGCUCCUUGGUAUUCCUUGGAGCAUGCCUGUUUGAGUAUCAUGAAAUUCUCAAAGCAAUCCUUUUGUUAAUUCAACUGGCCUUGCUUUGGACUUGGAGGUCUUGCAGAUGUCACAGUCUGCUCCUCUUAAAUAUAUUAGCUGGAUCUCAGUAUAUACUUGGUUCCACUCGGCGUGAUAAGUAUCACUCGCUGAGGACACUGUAAAAGGUGGCCAGGCAAUACAGAUGAACCGCUUCUAAUAGUCCAUUCACUUGGACAAUUACAUUUAUGAUCUGAUCUCAAAUCAGGUAGGACUACCCGCUGAACUUAA